This 59-nucleotide ribosomal RNA is filed under the name Neocoleroa metrosideri. RNAcentral's name for it is "partial 28S ribosomal RNA". It matches the Rfam family "Eukaryotic large subunit ribosomal RNA", at positions 1 to 57 of the family's 3401-position model. The record is from RNAcentral. Lineage: Eukaryota; Fungi; Ascomycota; Dothideomycetes; Venturiales; Sympoventuriaceae.
UUUGGCCUCGGAUCAGGUGGGGAUACCCGCUGAACUUAAGCAUAUCAAUAAGCGGAGGA